Molecule: long non-coding RNA, 102 nt
Organism: Phyllostomus discolor (pale spear-nosed bat)
Lineage: Eukaryota; Metazoa; Chordata; Mammalia; Chiroptera; Phyllostomidae
Exons: 3
Source: RefSeq, a predicted model, not a curated record
AUAUUUGAAUUUCCAGCAUCAUUACUCUUGCACUUUGGGGUCAUUAUCUAGUAAAAUAAUGGUUACUUGAACACAACACUACUAUACUGAGAUGGUAGGUCU